This 277-nucleotide ribosomal RNA is filed under the name uncultured bacterium. RNAcentral describes it as "partial 16S ribosomal RNA". It matches the Rfam family "Bacterial small subunit ribosomal RNA", at positions 28 to 321 of the family's 1533-position model. The record is from RNAcentral.
GACGAACGCUGGCGGCGUGCUUAACACAUGCAAGUCGGGGGGCGUCUUCGGGCGCCACCGGCGAACGGGUGCGGAACACGUGAGCGACCUGCCCCGGUGUGGGGGAUAGCCGGCCCAACGGCCGGGUAAGACCGCAUACGCCCCCGGCUUCGGUGCCGGGGGGAAACGGGAGGCACUGGGAGGGGCUCGCGGCCUAUCAGCUAGUUGGGGGGGUGACGGCCUCCCAAGGCGAUGACGGGUAGCUGGUCUGAGAGGAUGGCCAGCCACAUUGGGACUG